GCAACUGAUGAGGAGAUAUUUUCAUAAAUAAUUGAUUAAGAGAAACUACAAGAAACAAUUCAGGGAUUCUGACCACAUAUGAUUACAAAAGAUAGACAUAUAGAAAAGUAAAACUAAGAGAACAAUGCAUUUUAUGUAACAGAUGAUCUUAUUACCGAGGAAGUAAAGCUUUGAUUUCUCAUCCAUUUACUUUGAGACUGGUUGGGUAUUGAAGAGCUCAUAUUGGUAAGCAAAGAUGAGGGCCUCCCUCAUCUCAGUAUUGAGAUAACUUAGGGUAAAGUCAUGCAUCUGAUUAUUAGUUUAAUGCAAUCCAAAAUGUUUCUAUCAAGUUUAAGUGCUGAAAAAACUUGAUCUCUCUGUAAAGACGAUUAACAAAGUGAGCUAAUCUCUAAUUCUAUAAAUGAAAGUGUUGGCACUCCAAUUUAUCAGUCAAGUGAAUUAAAUUGGGAAUUUGAUAUGGAAGUUUCACUUGAAUUUUCUAGAUACACCCGCAUUCUUUGCCAAAGGGAAUUAUCCUAGGUGCUAAUAAUUAAAAUUCUGCCAUUAAAGUAAGCAUCGUUCAGCUCAAAUCGGAAAACCAAAUCAAAAUUGGUUUUUUUUUUUUUUGUUCUUUUUCUUCUUUCACUCUCACACACAGAGACUCGCUCACACACAGUGUUUGGUUUUCUUGUUUUUGCGUUUCUCUCUCUACUUUCUCUCUCGCUCUCUCAGCUUUCAAAACGAUGGCUUUUUGAUCUUUCUUCCUCCUCGUGCGUUGGUGGUCUAUAUACGCGCGAAACAGAGAAUAAAUCACCCAAAAUAAUGCUCUCUUUUUUCAGGUAAUAAAUAAAUAAAU
This 835-nucleotide unclassified non-coding RNA is filed under the name Hevea brasiliensis (rubber tree). Lineage: Eukaryota; Viridiplantae; Streptophyta; Magnoliopsida; Malpighiales; Euphorbiaceae. The record is from RNAcentral.